Long non-coding RNA from Pogona vitticeps (central bearded dragon), 722 nucleotides. RefSeq lists it as uncharacterized. Lineage: Eukaryota; Metazoa; Chordata; Lepidosauria; Squamata; Agamidae. The record is from RefSeq and is a predicted model, not a curated record.
GCAAGCGCCUCUUCGUGACGUUUGAACAAGUACUUCGGAGGAAGGAAAAAAAGGACACCUGCCGCUCAAAGGCGAAAAAAUAAGUAUUGUUGAGAUAAUCAAUGCACAUGAAUUCUCUUAACUGAAUUGUUACUGUAAAGCUUGUGAUGAAUGGAAGAGAAUUUGAAAUAGUAGUAUUCAGAUCAUAGAGGCUGAACUCAAAAUGAAUCUGCUCAUUAAGUGACAAGAAACUCAAGACGGCAUCUAUGUAUUGUCAUGGUUUUCAGGUAUUACAUGGGAUGUCAGUGAUGUACUAUAUGUGCCUGAGAAGACAACAGAAUACAAAAGCUACUUGAGCAAAAACAGGCUUUACUUAGUCAAAUAUAAAGCAAAUAAAUUUUGCAGUACUGUCAAAUCAACUCUUCAGAGAAUAUAGCAAAUAGGUGUGGUAUGCAACCAAUAAAAGACCUAAAAUAUUACAGCUUUAAAGAUUUUUUAAAUUGCACGAAAACAUUUUACAAAUGAAGGGGGUAAUAUUUAUUCUUGUAAAUAUUAGGAUAAAGUUAUGUAUGUGUAUACACUCAGGCAUGCACGAACACACACUUUUAUACUGUAUAGAAUAAGGUUACAUGGACACAAAGACCACAUCUCAUAGUCCAUUAGCAAGGGUCCACACUGGAUGGAACACUUCUAAGUCUCACAAUGUACAACUAGAAAAAAAAUGAGAAGAGGCAGAGCACAUU